UACGAAGGGGGCUAGCGUUGUUCGGAAUUACUGGGCGUAAAGCGUGUGUAGGCGGCUAGGCAAGUCGGAUGUGAAAGCCCCGGGCUCAACCCGGGAAGUGCACUCGAUACUGCAGAGCUUGAGUAUCGGAGAGGUUGGUGGAAUUCUCGGUGUAGAGGUGAAAUUCGUAGAUAUCGAGAGGAACAUCGGCGGCGAAGGCGGCCAACUGGACGAAUACUGACGCUGAGACACGAAAGCGUGGGGAGCAAACAGG
This 253-nucleotide ribosomal RNA is filed under the name uncultured bacterium. RNAcentral's name for it is "partial 16S ribosomal RNA". It matches the Rfam family "Bacterial small subunit ribosomal RNA", at positions 524 to 776 of the family's 1533-position model. The record is from RNAcentral.